AAACAGAGAGAGACAGCGAGACAGAGACAGAGAGAGCCAGAGAAACAGAGAGAGACAGCGAGACAGAGACAGAGACAGAGAGAGCCAGAGAAACAGAGAGAGACAGAGACAGAGAGAGACAGAGACAGAGAGAGACAGAGACAGAGAGAGACAGAGACAGAGACAGCGAGAGCAAGAGAAACAGAGAGAGACAGAGAGAGAGAGACAGAGAGAGACAGAGACAGAGAGAGACAGAGACCGAGAGAGACAGAGACAGAGAGAGAGAGAGAGAGAGAGAGACAGAGACAGAGACAGAGACAGAGAGAGACAGAGACAGAGAGAGCAAGACUUGGGUAUCUGUACUUUACUAUUUAUAUUUGACAACUUUUACUUUACUGUAGUCCUAAAGAAAAUAUUGUAAAAAAUAAAAAUUCCCCUGACAACCCAAAGUACUUGAUACAUUUUGAAUGCUUAGUAGAAGACAAAAAUGGUGAAACACACUUAUCUAGAGAACAUUCCUGGUCAUCUCUACUGCCUCUGAUCUGGAGGACUCACUAAACAGAGAACAUCCCUGGUCAUCCCCUACUGCCUCUGAUCUGGAGGACUCACUAAACAGAGAACAUCCCUGGUCAUCCCUACUGCCUCUGAUCUGGCAGAUUCACUAAACAGAGAACAUCCCUGUUCAUCCCUAAUAGCCUCUGAUCUGGAGGACUCACUAAACAGAGAACAUCCCCGGUCAUCCCUACUGCCUCUGAUCUGGAGGACUCACUAAACAGAGAACAUCCCUGGUCAUCCCUACUGCCUCUGAUCUGGAGGACUCACUAAACAGAGAACAUCCCUGGUCAUCUCUACUGCCUCUGAUCUGGAGGACUCACUAAACAGAGAACAUCCCUGGUCAUCCCUACUGCCUCUGAUCUGGAGGACUCACUAAACAGAGAACAUCCCUGGUCAUCCCUACUGCCUCUGAUCUGGAGGACUCACUAAACAGAGAACAUCCCUGGUCAUCUCUACUGCCUCUGAUCUGGAGGACUCACUAAACACAGAACAUCCCUGGUCGUCCCCUACUGCCUCUGUUCU
Oncorhynchus tshawytscha (Chinook salmon) is the source of this 1056-nucleotide long non-coding RNA. Lineage: Eukaryota; Metazoa; Chordata; Actinopteri; Salmoniformes; Salmonidae. The record is from Ensembl.